Molecule: ribosomal RNA, 207 nt
Filed under: uncultured bacterium
Lineage: Bacteria
Description: partial 16S ribosomal RNA
Rfam family: Bacterial small subunit ribosomal RNA
Source: RNAcentral
CGCGUAGGCGGCCUUGUGUGUCGGAUGUGAAAUCCCUUGUUUCAAGCGAGGAACUGCAUUCGAAACUGCAAGACUUGAGUCCCGGAGAGGGAAGCGGAAUUCCUGGUGGAGAGGUGAAAUUCGUAGAGAUCAGGAGGAACACCCGUGGCGAAGGCGGCUUGCUGGGCUUUAACUGACGCUGAGGCUCGAAAGUGUGGGGAGCAAACA